GACCGGGCAGGUGGGGACCGGGCUCAGUGUCAUGCCACACAUGGGGCCUGGACUAGGUGUGGGUCCAGGAGAGGAGAGCAUUGCGGCCCAAGAAUCAGGGAGGAAUAAAAUGAGAGUAAAGUUCCUGCUGUGUAAGGAGGAGCUUGGAAGUAUUUACACGGCAUUGGAUACAGGAAGACGGGAAUCCACAGGGAAUGCAGAAGUCGCACUCGUGACAGGAAGAAGGAGACUCGGAGCGGAGUGCUCUGUCCAGGGCAGCAGAGAGUUAUUCCUUGGGGACUGAUGAGCUCAUCGCUCUGCAGCAUGCUGCUGUGCAGAGGGCCCCGCAGCUAGAGUUGUAUGGUACGUGACACUGGCAGUUACUCAUUCUUCCACCCCAGAUCCUGUGCCCUCGUUCUGUUCUCUUUAAAGCAACACUGUAGCUCCUGUCAGUAGCCCGGAAGUCAUGGGUAUAGCUUGAGCACUAAACUGGGAAGGAGCUGAAGCCUCCUGGGUUCUAUUUUCAGCGCCCUUGCUGUGUGCAGCCUUGGGUGGAUCUCUCUUUCCUGGCCUCAGUUUUUCUAGUGUAGGAAUGGCCCGGCUUCCUCACUUUGCUCCAGGAUAUAAUUUAUUUGGGAGAGAGGUCUUUAGUAAACACAGAAUACACGGAAAUUGUUCAAAUUCUCCUCAUGUCUAGGGGACCUUGUAAGUGAGAUGAGAUUUGAAUGGAGGUCGGAAGGAACCUAUUUGUGGGAAAGUCUGGAUGGAGAGCAAAUAGGAUUCUAGUAAGCAUCCAGGGGGACCAUGCGACUCUUGAUCUCGGGGUCCUGAGUUUGAGCCCCAUGUUGGGUGUAGAGAUUAUACUAAAAAAAAAAUUAAUAAAUUUUAAAGAAUUCUAGUAACUUCUAGAUGACUUAUUUUCAGAUUUUGUGUGUGUGUUCUAAGACUGUGUUCAUCUCAAUCCUUCCCUAACUUCCUUACUUAAAUUUCUACCUGAAUUUAUCGCUUGCUACCCUUUCCCAUGCAUCUUGCCCAGGGCCAUCGUCCCCUUGUGAGUCUUGCUUUCUUUCUCCAGGGACUCACAGGCUCAGGAGUAUGAGGGUACUGCGUUCCAUGCCUUCAGGUUGUAGAUGGAGAAACCACAGGCCC
Felis catus (domestic cat) is the source of this 1128-nucleotide long non-coding RNA. RefSeq lists it as uncharacterized. The transcript has 2 exons. The record is from RefSeq and is a predicted model, not a curated record. Lineage: Eukaryota; Metazoa; Chordata; Mammalia; Carnivora; Felidae.